RNAcentral lists this ribosomal RNA (406 nucleotides) under uncultured bacterium. RNAcentral's name for it is "partial 16S ribosomal RNA". It matches the Rfam family "Bacterial small subunit ribosomal RNA", at positions 30 to 526 of the family's 1533-position model. The record is from RNAcentral.
AUUGAACGCUGGCGGCAGGCCUAACACAUGCAAGUCGAGCGAGCGGCGGACGGGUGAGUAAUGUCUGGGAAACUGCCUGCUGGAGGGGGAUAACUACUGGAAACGGUAGCCAAUACCGCAUCCUAUCGGAUGUGCCCAGAUGGGGUUAGCUAGUAGGUGGGGUAACGGCUCACCUAGGCGACGAUCCCUAGCUGAUGUGAGAGGAUGACCAGCCACACUGGAACGGAGACACGGUCUAUAUUCCUACGGGAGGCAGCAGUGGGGGAUAUUGCACAAUGGGCGCAAGCCUGAUGCAGCCAUGCCGCGUGUAUGAAGAAGGCCUUCGGGUUGUAAAGUACUUUCAGCGGGGAGGCGUUACCCGCAGAAGAAGCACCGGCUAACUCCGUGCCAGCAGCCGCGGUAAUAC